AUGAGCAGUGGGUCACGGGGCGUUGGAAUGGAAGACCUGGACAACUUCUUUGGUCAGCUUGACCUAGAAGAUGAGGUGUUCGAUGACCUAGUAAUCAAUGAAGUGGUCCCGGAGAUCAGCGAGCGUGUCCGCUGGAUGGCUCUUGCCCGUGUUCAUACUGACGAGUCCUUCAACCACUCGGCAUUCUUCAAGGACAUGAGGGCGGCGUGGAACGCGGCACAGCCGGUGAGGUUCAGGCCAGUCGGGACCAAUUUGUUCGUUGUGCAAGCAUCUUGUUUGGGCAAUUGGGAAAGAAUCAUGCAUCAAGGUCCUUGGUUAUUCAGAUUCUGGGCAGUGUUUCUCCAUCCUUAUGAGCCGAGGACACACAGAUUGUACACAUGCCAAUCUGGCUACAGAUUCAUCAGCUCCCGGAUGGUUAUUGCAACAAGGAUAUUGUUGAGAAACUAA
This 447-nucleotide ribosomal RNA is filed under the name Triticum aestivum (bread wheat). RNAcentral's name for it is "partial small subunit ribosomal RNA". Lineage: Eukaryota; Viridiplantae; Streptophyta; Magnoliopsida; Poales; Poaceae. The record is from RNAcentral.